GGGGAAUCUUGGACAAUGGGGGAAACCCUGAUCCAGCCAUGCCGCGUGAUCGAUGAAGGCCUUAGGGUUGUAAAGAUCUUUCAGCUGGGAAGAUAAUGACUGUACCAGCAGAAAAAGCCCCGGCUAACUCCGUGCCAGCAGCCGCGGUAAUACGGAGGGGGCUAGCGUUGUUCGGAAUUACUGGGCGUAAAGCGCACGUAGGCGGAUCAGUCAGUCAGGGGUGAAAUCCCGGGGCUCAACCCCGGAACUGCCUUUGAUACUGCUGGUCUUGAGGUCGAGAGAGGUGAGUGGAAUUCCGAGUGUAGAGGUGAAAUUCGUAGAUAUUCGGAGGAACACCAGUGGCGAAGGCGGCUCACUGGCUCGAUACUGACGCUGAGGUGCGAAAGCGUGGGGAGCAAAC
RNAcentral lists this ribosomal RNA (400 nucleotides) under uncultured bacterium. Its description in RNAcentral is "bacterial SSU rRNA". It matches the Rfam family "Bacterial small subunit ribosomal RNA", at positions 356 to 773 of the family's 1533-position model. The record is from RNAcentral.